This 929-nucleotide long non-coding RNA is filed under the name Phasianus colchicus (ring-necked pheasant). RNAcentral describes it as "lncRNA (ENSPCLG00000006320.1)". The record is from RNAcentral. Lineage: Eukaryota; Metazoa; Chordata; Aves; Galliformes; Phasianidae.
GAUCCUGUCACUGACUUAAAACUUGCUCCCAUUCAUUGUUCCUCCAAAACUUUGUUAAUCCUGCUGUAAGAGCAACAGCAGCAGACAAAACUACAUUUCUUACAUGAUUCUCUUGACCUCCCAUCUGCCUCACUGCUCUGCUUCAUGCAUCCUUCAGAACACAGUGUCAGAAACUCCUAUUUCAAUAGAAAUUCUAUCCAUGCUGGGCCUGUCUGAUGUCGAACCCCAUGGUGUUCAGGAUCUGCUUUGAUCCCAAGAAGCCAAUGUCAGAUAUGUGGUGAAGAGGACAACAUACAGAACCGUCCUUGGCUGUGUUUAAUCAGUGAGUGCUUCUCCUUUGAGCUCUGAAACCCACAACCUUCUCUUCCGUGAAGAAAACACCAACCACUCACUUAUUUCCGAAGGAUUAUUUUUUUCCUUACACUGAAAUUAAAGCAAAUUAUAAUUUGUGACAAUUAACUGGUGACCUUCAGUAUUUUGUAAUUUGAGAACUCAUCAUAGUUGUUUUUUUUUUUUUUUCCUAGAGAAGAAUUAAUUACUUACUGAUUACAUUAAUUUCUCCAUUAUUGUCCUGUAUUUGUUCAGAAGUCAGCUUACCAUUCCUCUUUUUGUGGACUUGUACUCGUUCACUGCAAUAACAGAAGUUGAUUUUAAUUAAUUUGACUAGAAAAUACAUUACUAACAUAUUGAGGCAGAUUGAGCAGACUGCAGUAGAAGUCUAAUAUUACACAAAAGAUUCUGGAGUGCUUAAAAACACAGCAAUGCUGUUAAAGCACAAAUGCUACAUCAUUCACACCCUGCUCUUUAAUAGGAGCAGUGUUUAUAGAACAGCUUAAGAGCUACAAUAGCACAAAAUAUAAAAGAUGACAAACUAAAGCAAGGAACCAAACCACCUGAUGAAUUGGUACAGGGAUUACCUUCAUGAUACU